GAUAUUCGGGGCGCGCACUCCUCCUCCCAGUGCGCUCCGAUCAGGCCGGCAACCACUCCUCCUCCCAGGUUGUUGGCCACUGACAAUGGCGCCCACCGGAUCCUCCUCCCCCGGUGGGCGUUAUUC
Molecule: non-coding RNA, 126 nt
Organism: Rhizobiales bacterium 63-7
Lineage: Bacteria; Pseudomonadati; Pseudomonadota; Alphaproteobacteria; Hyphomicrobiales
Source: Rfam